RNAcentral lists this non-coding RNA (1205 nucleotides) under Pan troglodytes (chimpanzee). The record is from RNAcentral. Lineage: Eukaryota; Metazoa; Chordata; Mammalia; Primates; Hominidae.
AGAACUGGACACCUCGGGGGUUUCCUGCUUUAUGGCGAAGGACGGAGUUUUGCUCUUGUUGCCCAAGCUGGAGUGCAAUGGUGCGAUCUUCGCUUACUGCAACCUCUGCUUCCUGGGUUCAAGUGAUUCCCCUGCCUCAGCCUCCCGAGUAGCAGGGAUUACAGACACAUAUACUCAUAGAAAUGAGUUAUUUAAAGAAGACGGUCCAGAUUCCACAGUCCAAAAAAAAAAAGAGGUUUGCCCUGCUUCCGAAGGAGUCAGGAUAUGAAUGCAGAGGUCUUCCUGUUGGCUCACAUAUCAGACCUUCAACGUCAACAUUAAAUGCUGAAAGAACAUCAGUGUAUCAGCACAGCAAAUAUUCCAAAUGCCAGGCUGGAUUCCCUCCAAUUACCAGAACCUCCAGGCUUCUCCUCCUUUCAAGAACUUUCUGACCCUGGAUCCAGUCUAAAUGUUGGUUAUAAACUCACCUGACAUCCACAGGGCCCUUCCAAAGUACUGUCAAGGCUGACUGCUGGUGCCUGGAACCUGCACACCCUCCUGGGACUCUGCAUCUCUGCUGGGGCUGGUUUCUCCUCUGAGCCACCUUAAGGAAUCCCAUCCUGACCCGGUCAGAGCUCAGCAUGCCUCCCUCUCCUACUUGCUCAGCAUUUUCUGUCUAUCUAGACUGAAGCCUUUGCUUUCUCUCUGUGAUUGUGGUGAAAGUUCAGUUUGCUUUCCUCUCUCUAGAAUGUCAGCAUGAAGGCAGAGGGAUGGUCUCCUGAGUUCCAUAACCCCAAAGCCUAACUCCCUGCCUGCCACACUGAGGGGCUCAGUAGACAUUGACUUACUAAAUUGAAUAGUUGAGUAAUAAUGCUCUUUGAAAUAAUUUGGAGUUAGAUCUUGAGCCUUGUGUGGCCAGGGGAUGGGUGAGGACACAUCAUAAAAACUAAAGGUAACUGAGCAUGCCAGCAGUUGGGGUGAGAAAUUUGCAUGGAGCACUCCAGACGCAGAGGCAGUGCUGGGAAAGAACCCAAGUGCUGGGAAGUCAGAGUGAGAGAGUGAAGGGGCAGUGAGUGCUUCUUUAGGAGCUGGAUCAAAACCUAAGAUGAUCUGGCCACAUGGUGCAGACUGAGCACACACUUGGGAGAGAAAUGGGCCAGGAGGAGAGGAGAGAGGUUCACCACAGGACAGUGGAUGACUGGGAAUAGAAGCCCUCCCCAUGGUGG